Non-coding RNA from Zootermopsis nevadensis, 4176 nucleotides. Lineage: Eukaryota; Metazoa; Arthropoda; Insecta; Blattodea; Termopsidae. The record is from RefSeq and is a predicted model, not a curated record.
GACAGGCGUUUGGAUGAUCGACCAACGGUGAUCGAUUAUGGUUAUAAUCUGUGAGCGUUAAUAGUGAUCCGUGGCAAUCGAUAUGUUUGUGUUAACUACGCUGUAGGUCACCUGUGAUGUACAUCAGUAUGUUGAAAAUUGUCAUUAUGUCCUGUAUGUUACUAAAAUAUGUUGAUUACGGUAUUUGACACAACUUUCUGAAAAUUGUAUAUGAAGUUUGUGUAUAUUGUAGAUAAGUUAACUUGAAGUAAUAACCAUAACACAUGGAGUAUACUGUUGCUUCUAAAAUACAUUUCAAGAGUCUGUGUCGUCUCUGUGAGAUAAUUAGUGAUUGUGCACGUAAUAAGAAGGAAGAAUACCUCAAAAAAUACAUCAACUACUUUCAUGAAUAUUCCAAGAAUUUAAAACAGGAAUCACCAUUAUUGGAUGACAGUUUUUAUCCCUUCCUGAGACUACUGCUGCCACAACUAGACCGAGAACGUGGUGCAUAUGGCAUAAAGGAACAUAACUUGGCCAAGGUCUACAUUCGUGUCCUUGGCCUCCCUAAGGAAGGACAUGAUGCAUCAAAACUACUCAAUUUUAGGACUCCUAAAACUGCAGGCAGCGGUGCAGGUGACUUUGCGGAAGUGGCUUUCUGGGUUCUGAAGAGUCGUUGUCCUGAAGGAGGAAAUCUAAGUGUGGAACAAAUAAAUGUUCAUCUUGAUAACAUAGCACUGAAGCAUGCAGCUCAUGACCCAAGAGGAGUUGAUGCUGAGCUUGUUGCGAUGCUAACUUCUAUGUCUGCGGCAGAACAGAAGUGGUUGAUACGGAUGUUGUUAAAGGACAUGAAGUUGGGCUUGGGUCAGAGCCGUAUUUUUCAUAUAUAUCAUCCGGAUGCCCUGGAGCUGUAUGAUGUUUCUAACAGUCUUCUUAAGGUGUGCCAGCUGCUACGCGAUCCAAACAUCCGUUUGCAUGAAGUGGAAGUUUCAUUGUUCUCACCAUUUCGACCAAUGCUAGCAGAACGUUGUAAUGUGCAAACUAUAGAAGAAUCUAUGAAGAAAAGUCAGUUUUAUUAUGUAGAAACUAAAUAUGAUGGUGAAAGGUUCCAGUUGCAUAUGGAAAAUGGAGUCUUCAAGUAUUUCUCCCGGAAUGGUUAUGAGUAUACAGAUGUGUAUGUCACACUCCUGACAUCUCAUGUUUCAAAAUUACUGCGAGCUGAUACAAAGAAUUGCAUACUGGAUGGAGAAAUGAUGGGCUGGAACAAAAAUUUGAAAUGCUAUAAAUAUAAAGGUACCAAUUUUGAUGUCAAGUGCUUAAAGGAAGGGGACUGCAUUCGUCCAUGUUUGUGUGUGUUUGAUGUCUUGUUGUAUAAUGGUCAAGUACUCACCAACAAGCCACUGUCUGAGCGACUCCAUUAUCUAAAGAAUCUCUUCACACCUUCUGAGGGGAUCUUCAUGCAUGCAGAACGCAAGGAAGUAACAACUGGGCAAGAAGUAAUACAUGAACUAAACCUGGCAAUUGAUAACAGGUUAGAAGGAAUUGUACUGAAGGAUCCAACAUCAAUUUACAAACCUAACAUGAGGAAAGGAGGCUGGUAUAAAAUCAAACCUGAGUACACGGAAGGUUUAAUGGACCAUCUGGACCUUAUUAUUAUGGGUGGUUACUUUGGAGAAGGGCGGAGGAAGGGUAUUAGUCAUUUUCUUGUUGGAGCUGCUGUGCCGCCACCUAUUGAAGAUAUGGAACCAGUGGAGUUUCAUUCUGUCGCACGUGUGGGCUCAGGCUACUCUGCGGAUGAGUUAUCAGAACUACUACAGAAGCUGUCACUUCACUGGCAGCGUGUGACUCCAGGUCAGUGUCCACCUGCUCUUGUAUGGACCAAAGAAAAGCCAGAUGUAUGGAUUGCUCCACAAAAUUCUUAUAUACUGGAGGUUAAAGCAUCCGAGAUCGUACAGAGCUCUUCAUACAAAGUUGACUAUACACUUCGAUUUCCUCGUGUCGAAACUAUCCGCUAUGACAAAAAGUGGUCUGACUGCAUGACUAUCAUAGAUUUUGACAGUUUAAGGAAGGAGGCAUCUGGGAAACUGUACUCUAGACAUGUUGAUGCCAGUGAUCAGUUGUCAGAAUCACCGAAAAAGAAGGUACGGCAACUGAAGAAAAUACCCAUUACCUUAGGUGAACAGUUUUGUGGUAUUGACGUAUCUGAAGUCAAUGUGACAUCGAACUCGUUAGAAGCAAAGGUGUUUUGUGUGUUAACUGGCUGUCAAGAUCAUACAAAACAAGACAUAGAGACCAAAAUCAUACAGAACGGAGGCACAGUUGUGCAAAACACAGGACAUAACACAUUCUGUGCUCUGGCUGGAGACUCCACACUUCGUGUGCGCAACAUUGCUAAGAGUGGACAGUGCAGUGUUGCCCGUGUAGACUGGCUUCUGCGCUCAAUAGCUGCUAAUAUGUUAUUGCCCUGGACUCCUGCUGACCUUUUAUAUGCAACACCAACAGUAAGCGAACAGCUCUCUGUUGAAUUUGAUAAGUUUGGAGACAGCUACACGCAACCGCUGACUGAAGAGUCACUGAAGUAUGUUCUUGAACAAGUUGAAAAAAGUGGUUGUGUUAUGGACCUUACUGAAGAAAUGUUAGCAGAUCUUGAAAUAGAACUGUUUCGUGGACCCAGUCCUUAUGGCCUCUUCCGUUUGUGUCGGUCAUAUGUGGACAAAUACUUCACGUUAAAUGAUCCUUUGUCAGGUGAAAGCAAAGAGUUGGAUAUUGUGGAACUUGACUUUAGUUUCUAUGGAGGUCAGGUUUUUUCACAUAUAGAUGAGCAGACUACCCAUGUGAUUAUACAUUCUCAGUCAAAGGAUAGACUUGAUGAGAUUAAACGUAUCAACCGAGCCAGAGUAUGCAAGUUCUACAUUGUCACUGAGCAGUGGGUUCAGAAGACAGUUGAAAUGAAGAACAGACAAAAGGAGAAUGAUUACUCAUUGUAAUGAACUGGUCUGGAGCACCUUACCAACAGUUUGUGAUGCCUCUCCACUGUGUGAUGUCCUGUAAGCCAACACCUGAUUCACCAUAGUCACUGCACCACCGUCAUGCUUAGAAAAUGGUUGGAAGAUCCGUGUUUGUAUAUCUUGAGGUUUGCUAACCGACUCGAGUUUGGCGACAAAACUCACGAGGUAUCAAUGACGGCCUUGCGACUGGUACAGAGGAUGAAGAGGGAUUCGAUACAUACAGGUCGAAGACCGUCGGGACUUUGUGGCGCCGGCUAAUUGAGUUUGGAGAAACACCAUCAAGCUCACUGACAUUGGAUGAAUUCAUGACAGUAGAUUUGGAGGAAGAACAGGAUCCACCUUCGUUCAAAGCUGCCCGCAAGAAAGACAGAGAACGGUUACAAAAAGUAAGUUACGAGCCGGUGUUUUCAGUAAAGGUGAAAUUACUAUGACAAAACACGAAAUCACAGGCUUCUGGACUGAAUGCAGAUAAAGUGAAUUGAUGAUUAUAAGUGGUGGUGAGGAAUGAAGUAGCUCUGGCAUAUUAUGUGAGAUGGUGGAAUGGUGAGGCUGAGAAAACUAUUGUCAGUAAUGGAAAGAUUUUAAGCUGUUACCCUUAUGAAUAUAACCCGUGAAUGGGGACCGCUAAAUCACAACAUUUGAAUGAAAAUAAACUUUAUAAUAAGUAAAAGUAAGUUCAGACAGGAGAUCACUAAUUUAUUAUUUUUGUGUAAUUUGUCAGUUUCAAUCUUCAAGACGUGUAGUGAAAGACUGAUUUAAUUUAGCCAGCAGUCGAGUUAACCGUUCAGAGGUAAAGAGACACGCGUAAUUGAAAUUUUAAAUGAAUGUGAAGUUCUGAGAAGAAUUUCUAAUAUCUUUGUUCCUUCAAAUGCUUAAAUUAGUAGGAGAUUUGUAGAUACAUAAUUUUAUAAUUUUUGUCCACACCAAAGUUUCCUGUGCCUACCAGCAUAGACAGAAACAGAAAGCUAAAUAUAGAUUUAGUUUGGUUAUAAUAUUCGUUUGCUUUCACCAAUUCAGGAUUCUGCGUUAAAUACUGCCACAGGUACUUACAUCUCAGAAGUUCACAUAGCCACUAUGUUCGUGUUACUUUUCUUUUCGUGUCCAGUACACACCAUUCAGUACAUGGGUUCGAUCGGGACCGCGACAUUUAACGCUCCUGCUGUGACCCCCUUUUUGCGAGUGGAGUAAUUGU